AGUCUCGUGGUGACAGCGGAGGGAUCAUUAAAGAGUUGAAAGACUCCCAAAACCACUGUGGACUUUACCUUUUAUCGUUGCUUCGGCGGUGAACGGGUUUAGGGUGCCCUUUACUUUUUCGGUGGGGGGACCCGACCAGCGAGCCGCCGGAGGUUACCUAAACUUUGUAUUUAUGUAGUGUAUCUCUGAGCAUUAAAAAACAAGUCAAAACUUUCAACAACGGAUCUCUUGGUUCUGGCAUCGAUGAAGAACGCAGCGAAAUGCGAUAAGUAAUGUGAAUUGCAGAAUUCAGUGAAUCAUCGAAUCUUUGAACGCACAUUGCGCCCGCUGGUAUUCCGGCGGGCAUGCCUGUUCGAGCGUCAUUUCAACCCUCAAGCUCUCCGGAGUUUGGUGUUGGGGCGCCUGGGGCUUUUCGACCUCAGGGCCCUCAAGUCCAUCGGCGGGACCGCCAGGACACUGAGCGCAGUAGUAUUAUUUCGCUCGGUAGGAUCUUCCACGGCGGGUCGAUCUGGCCGCUAAACCCCCCAAUUCUCACCAAAGGUUGACCUCGGAUCAGGUAGGAAUACCCGCUGAACUUAAGCAUAUCAAUAAGCGGAGGA
This 599-nucleotide ribosomal RNA is filed under the name uncultured Diaporthales. RNAcentral's name for it is "eukaryotic LSU rRNA". The stretch from base 209 to 362 matches the Rfam family "5.8S ribosomal RNA". The record is from RNAcentral. Lineage: Eukaryota; Fungi; Ascomycota; Sordariomycetes; Diaporthales.